GGAUAUAGCUCAGUUGGUAGAGUGCUUGCCUUGCAUGCACAAGGCUCUGGGUUCAAUCCCCAGAACCA
RNAcentral lists this transfer RNA (68 nucleotides) under Marmota monax (woodchuck). Its description in RNAcentral is "tRNA.Ala". The stretch from base 6 to 63 matches the Rfam family "tRNA", at positions 8 to 63 of the family's 71-position model. From Rfam's summary of the family: Transfer RNA (tRNA) molecules are approximately 80 nucleotides in length. Their secondary structure includes four short double-helical elements and three loops (D, anti-codon, and T loops). Further hydrogen bonds mediate the characteristic L-shaped molecular structure. tRNAs have two regions of fundamental functional importance: the anti-codon, which is responsible for specific mRNA codon recognition, and the 3' end, to which the tRNAs corresponding amino acid is attached (by aminoacyl-tRNA synthetases). tRNAs cope with the degeneracy of the genetic code in two manners: having more than one tRNA (with a specific anti-codon) for a particular amino acid; and 'wobble' base-pairing, i.e. permitting non-standard base-pairing at the 3rd anti-codon position. Lineage: Eukaryota; Metazoa; Chordata; Mammalia; Rodentia; Sciuridae. The record is from RNAcentral.